RNAcentral lists this ribosomal RNA (813 nucleotides) under Triticum aestivum (bread wheat). Its description in RNAcentral is "partial small subunit ribosomal RNA". The record is from RNAcentral. Lineage: Eukaryota; Viridiplantae; Streptophyta; Magnoliopsida; Poales; Poaceae.
AUGUUUGCUGAUGUAUCAAUUUCAAAGUGCAAGGCAGCAAAAAAGAUUGUACUUGACAAGCUUUUGUGUGGUAUGAAAAAUGAGUACACAAAAGUAUUUGAUUAUUAGUUGGAACUGCUUAGGAGCAACCCUGGGAGCACAGUGGCUGUUUCCUUGGAUCCAAAAGAGAUGGAGCAGAACAUCUUUCAGCAAUUUUAUGUUUGUUUCAAUGCAAUGAAGAAAGGGUUUAAAGCAGGAUGCAGAAAAGUGAUUGGGUUGGAUGGUUGUUUCUUCAAAGGAGCAUGCCAAGAGCCCUUUUUCUAGUAGUGUGCUAGGGAUGCGAACAACCAAAUGUAUCCAGUUGCAUGGGCCGUUGUCGAGAAGGAGACCAAGGAUACAUGGGCAUGGUUUAUUGGACUUCUUAUCAAAGAUUUGGACAUCAAUGAUCAAGGUGCUGGAUGGGUCUUCAUUUCUGACAAACAAAAGGGCCUAAUUAUGAGCAUGACAGACUACUUGCCUAGGGCAGAGCAUAGGAUGUGUGCAAGGCACAUUUAUGCCAAUUGGAGAAAGAAACACAAAGACCAUGAGUUACAGAAAAGGUUCUGGGCCAUUGCAAAGUAUUCACAUAGGGAAGAUUUUAACUAUAACAAAGCCAAGCUAACUCAACUUACUCCUGAUGGUGCAAAGGACAUCACGAGGACAGAGCCAAAGCAUUGGGCUAGGGCUUUCUUUCCAGUUGGGGCAAAAUGUGAAUCUGUUGACAAUAACCUUUGUGAAUCAUUCAACAAUGCUAUUAUAGAAGUGAUACGUCUCCAACGUAUCUAUAAUUUUUGA